RNAcentral lists this long non-coding RNA (2921 nucleotides) under Nicotiana benthamiana. Its description in RNAcentral is "long non-coding RNA (NBEN_LNC039779)". The record is from RNAcentral. Lineage: Eukaryota; Viridiplantae; Streptophyta; Magnoliopsida; Solanales; Solanaceae.
UUCAAUCCCAAAUGACCCCGUUUCUUUUAAGUUUAACCGCAGUCAUUGGAUUUUUAUCAUCCAAUGGCCCGGAACUGGUUUGUCACUUACUAUGAGACUAUCCUAAAUCAGCUGGACCCCCUCCCCAAAACCAAACCCUCUCACUCUCCAUCUCUUUCUGAAAAUCACCCCAAACCCUAGCCACCUCACAUUCCCACGUUGCCUCCUCCGUGAAUCACCAUCGGAAAUCGCCUCACGGCAGUUCCGGUGGUCCAACCGCCCCAUAAUAACACCCUGAAAUUCCUACAAUCCCCUCAUCCUAAAUUUCAACUCCUUUUCCUCUGAAUCACCGCCGAAUUUUUUGAAUUUUGAAUCAAAGGAUCCGCCCAAAACCCCAAUUGCUAGAAAUCAUGCCAAAUUAACAUUCUACAGCCCUUAGCCCUCUCUAAGCCCUAAGAAACCUUUAGCCUUAUCCAAAUCAGUUCCUCUUUGGCCGAAUUUAAGAUCCUAGAUUCAAAAGCCCUGAAAGACCCCUGCCUGAAUCGAUUCAGGAUUUUAAUGGCUCUAUUCUACAUGAGUCGACUGCUUUUGAUAAGAGCAUUUGACUCAAGUGGAUUGGACCUGUUGUUCGAAGUGGCUUGACUCCUACCAAGUUCUUCGGCUCUAUUUGUUCUGUUAUAGGUAAUUGUCCGAAUUUUCCGGAUUUUUCUUUCCAUCUUAUCCUCCUUUUCUUUUCCCCCUAGCCAUUUCUUUUUUUCCCCUUCUGUUUGACUUUCCUUUGAGUUUUAUUCUAUCUGCAAAUUGCAUAUUUUAGGUUUUCUGCUUUACAUUAAUCGUGAUGUUUUAGGUGUUAUUUUAGAUUAGCUUAUCUUGUUACUCAGUUUCUUCUAUGGUUUCAUUUCUUCUUCUUUUCUAAUUACAUCUCUGACUAAUUGCGUGUUUAGGUUAAUUUUAGAUUUUUGUUCACUUGUUUAGAUUAAGUUAAAAUUUGUUUACUUGUGCGUAUGUUUAAUGAUCUUCAUUUGAAUUUCAUGAUAAUGAGCUUUCAUCCAUGUUUGUUUCAUUUUUUUAAACGUUCCAGAUUAUGUCCAAGCAAAUCGAGUCUGCUUUUAAAUUUUAUUUUCUCAAUGGUCUUUCCUUGGAUAUUUUUAUGUAUGCUGAUUUUGGCCCUACGGUAAUAGUCUUAAAUUUCCAAUCAUUAGAAACCUUAGUGACCUAAGUGAACAUAGAAAUUUUAGAUAAAGGCGGUAAUAAGCAGCUUUUAAAAGUGUAGUAUAGUUUUUUUUGUUUUAAAAAUAUCAGAAUACUCUAGAAAUAGGGGCACCUGGCCUCAUUUGGUUAGUACAAAGUACUGAAACCAAUGGGAAAAGAAUAGAUGUUCCAAUCCUGUUUGGAAGAUGCUGUUUAUGGUUAAAGAAUGAUUCCAUCAGCAUGAGGCCUUAUAUACCUCUAUCUAUAGUGCCUUCCAUAUAAAAUUUCACAGACUCAACACCAUUAUCUAUAAAAAAAUUUCUUUCAUUUCUGGAUUUCAGACUUAAGAAAAUCUUAGACAAACUUCAGAAAAAAAAAAAAAAAAACUGCUGCUGUUAAUAGGGGGAAAAUGAGUUGAAAAGAAGAAUUUCUUAAGUUUUGUUAGGACUUUUGAUUUUUCAAGUGGCAUUUUGUUCUUGAAAUUUCGGGGUUUCAUUGGUUUUGCUAAAGUUUUUUUGUCAUUGUUGCUGCUUCCUGCUCCUAAGACUUUUCCAACAAUCUUACCCUCAUUACAGUUGUUAUUUAAUUGUUGUGUCAAGGUACAUGUGAAUCUCUCCCUGUAUUGACUGCCAUGUAAUUGAGACUAAAGAGAAUAUGACUUCAUUCACCUUGUUUGACACUGUUCAUGUAUGUCUUGUUAACUCUUGCACACUGAAAUUGUAAUGGUGUUGGGGUUGUUCUUUAUCUCAAAAUGCUUAAAAUUUUUUGCCCCCUAUCUUUUGUAAUAAUGCUUUAACCUCUUUGAUAGUGUUAAUUCUCUCCUGCCAGUAUGUAUUGCUUUUUGUUCUUGCAAUGAUUAGUCCAUAUAUUCAAGCUUUCCCCUCCCAAAAACCAGGCCAGUUCAUUAAGCCUGACCCCUUAUAGCUUGGAACUUGUGGUGUUUCAGGUAUUUAACCGUUAACAUGGUUAAACUCAUGAAUCAUUACUAGUUUCUGCGUUAGGUGUAUAAGAGCUGGGUCAGACAGUAUAGAAUGCUAGUAUAACUGAAGUAUUUUUGUGAAUUUGACCUUUUCACAUGGUCAGAUCCAUGAAAAAAUACUUAGAAAAUAGAGAACAGAGGUUGAUUUGUUAGUGAGAAACUUUAGGUUGGGAGUCUAAGCAGCUCACUAGCUGACCUCUUGCAGAUCUCAUGCUUUGGUCUUGAAGAAAUCGGUGGAAGGAAUUUGAAACCAGAAAAAGCUUUCAAUUGUUUUUCACUUCUUUACUUUCUUUAAGAAUUUCCUUUAGAUAAUAGAUGUUAGGAUACUGAUUAAAGGCUUCAAUAUAUAAAUUGUGGGACUUUCAAUACUGUAAUAACUUUUUUAUUUAAGCUUGAUUAUCAGUAGGCUUACACUAAUAAAUUUUAUUUGUUUGGUGCAAUUAAUAUGUUUGGGAAUGUAUGUAUAUUUCAAACAGGGUUGCACUUGCAAGCAGGCCCAAGUAUUAGGCUCAUUCAAGCAAGUCCGACCAGGGCCAUUGGGCCUAGGCAGUUGGAUUUCCAGCUUUAUCCCAGUAUCAGUUAUUUUUAUUUGCUGAUUACCACUACAUAUCUAUUGUGUCUUGAAAUUUAAUAUGAUAGAAUAAAUUUUGGAACCAAUAUUGCCUUGGUUUUUCUUCCAAAGAGUGGUUUUAUUUUCAGCCUUUUUCCUUCACUAAUUCAUAUAGAUAGAGUGAAAGGCGGAUAGACCCAAAUUAGAGAAUGUAUCCAUCUA